This 374-nucleotide ribosomal RNA is filed under the name uncultured organism. Its description in RNAcentral is "partial 16S ribosomal RNA". It matches the Rfam family "Bacterial small subunit ribosomal RNA", at positions 527 to 896 of the family's 1533-position model. The record is from RNAcentral.
GUAGGUGGCAAGCGUUGUCCGGAAUUAUUGGGCGUAAAGCGCGCGCAGGUGGUUCUUUAAGUCUGAUGUGAAAGCCCCCGGCUCAACCGGGGAGGGUCAUUGGAAACUGGGGAACUUGAGUGCAGGAGAGGAAAGUGGAAUUCCACGUGUAGCGGUGAAAUGCGUGGAUAUGUGGAGGAACACCAGUGGCGAAGGCGACUUUCUGGCCUGUAACUGACACUGAGGCGCGAAAGCGUGGGGAGCAAACAGGGAUUAGAUACCCUGGUAGUCCACGCCGUAAACGAUGAGUGCUAAGUGUUGGGGGGGUUUCCCGCCCCUCAGUGCUGCAGCUAACGCAUUAAGCACUCCGCCUGGGGAGUACAGUCGCAAGACUG